RNAcentral lists this ribosomal RNA (503 nucleotides) under uncultured bacterium. RNAcentral's name for it is "partial 16S ribosomal RNA". It matches the Rfam family "Bacterial small subunit ribosomal RNA", at positions 30 to 523 of the family's 1533-position model. The record is from RNAcentral.
AUUGAACGCUGGCGGCAGGCUUAACACAUGCAAGUCGAGCGGGGUGAUGGUGCUUGCACUAUCACUUAGCGGCGGACGGGUGAGUAAUGCUUAGGAAUCUGCCUAUUAGUGGGGGACAACAUCUCGAAAGGGAUGCUAAUACCGCAUACGUCCUACGGGAGAAAGCAGGGGAUCACUUGUGACCUUGCGCUAAUAGAUGAGCCUAAGUCGGAUUAGCUAGUUGGUGGGGUAAAGGCCUACCAAGGCGACGAUCUGGAGCGGGUCUGAGAGGAUGAUCCGCCACACUGGGACUGAGACACGGCCCAGACUCCUACGGGAGGCAGCAGUGGGGAAUAUUGGACAAUGGGGGGAACCCUGAUCCAGCCAUGCCGCGUGUGUGAAGAAGGCCUUAUGGUUGUAAAGCACUUUAAGCGAGGAGGAGGCUACUUUAGUUAAUACCUAGAGAUAGUGGACGUUACUCGCAGAAUAAGCACCGGCUAACUCUGUGCCAGCCGCCGCAGUAA